CUACGGGAGGCAGCAGUAAGGAAUAUUGGUCAAUGGGCGCAAGCCUGAACCAGCCAUCCCGCGUGAAGGAAGAAGGCGCUAUGCGUUGUAAACUUCUUUUUCAGGGGAAGAAUGUCCCGCACGUGUGCGGGAUUGCCGGUACCCUGUGAAUAAGCAUCGGCUAACUCCGUGCCAGCAGCCGCGGUAAUACGGAGGAUGCGAGCGUUAUCCGGAUUUAUUGGGUUUAAAGGGUGCGUAGGCGGACUGAUAAGUCAGUGGUGAAAUCCUGCAGCUUAACUGUGGAAUUGCCGUUGAUACUGUUAGUCUUGAGUAUGGUUAAGGUAGGCGGAAUGUGUAAUGUAGCGGUGAAAUGCUUAGAUAUUACACAGAACACCGAUUGCGAAGGCAGCUUACUGAACCAUAACUGACGCUGAGGCACGAAAGCGUGGGGAGCGAACAGGAUUAGAUACCCUGGU
RNAcentral lists this ribosomal RNA (455 nucleotides) under uncultured bacterium. RNAcentral's name for it is "bacterial SSU rRNA". It matches the Rfam family "Bacterial small subunit ribosomal RNA", at positions 339 to 791 of the family's 1533-position model. The record is from RNAcentral.